This is a long non-coding RNA of Humulus lupulus (European hop), 1239 nucleotides long. RefSeq lists it as uncharacterized. The transcript has 2 exons. Lineage: Eukaryota; Viridiplantae; Streptophyta; Magnoliopsida; Rosales; Cannabaceae. The record is from RefSeq and is a predicted model, not a curated record.
UUCCAUAAUUUACCUCUUAUUCCCUGUAUUACUCUACCAUGCAGUUGGUUUAUAUGUUUUUUCUGGUGAAGUCUCAACAAUGAUAGGUGGGUCGUAGCUUUUUGUUUCAUGGGAAUUGGGAAUAGUGACCACCCAAAACUCUUGUUUUAUUUAUGUAUUUGUUCCUAAGUUAGGACAAGGACAAGCAGUAGCAGGGCAGUCGGCCAUGCUGGAUUAAGGAAGUUAGGUGGCGAUUGUGGUAGCCUGUGAUCGGUGUGGGUUAACAAAGGACUGGUGUGAAUAAAUGAAAGACCACGAUUGAGAGGGAGUAAGGUGUCUAUAGAAAUUUGUUUUGAGGUAUUUUGUAGAGCCUUGGCUCAAGAAUAAUACCAUUCGGAAGAAUCACGUGUCUUAAUGCCAACAAAGAAUGUAAGCCCUGGUCCCUAAUCUUAUUGAAUUAAUUUAUUGCCCGAGGAGCCAUAAAUUUUGUCCAGAUUUGAAAGGUAGAGGAAUCUGGUUGGGUGAUUCAAUGAGAUGUUUUCCUACAAGUCAGUCUUUAAAAUGUGGUUGGAGAUGUUCCUAAUUAACAGUUUUCAUGAGCAAGAGUGAUUUGGAAAUGCCCUAUGCCCUCAAAGGUCCGAGUCUUUCUUUGCUUGUUGUGCUUAGAAUGUAUAAGUGUCCAUGAUGCUCUUCAACGAAGGAAGCCUUAUGUUACGCUCUCCCUUGGAUAAUGUGUAUUAUGCAAAAACAGUGGGGAAGACUCUUCCCAUCUCUUCUUGCAUUGCUCUUUCACCAGGAAUAUUUGGUCUAGAUUUUUGAAGGAAUUCAGAAAUUAGUGGUGCAUGCCAAAAAGUUGUGCUGAGUUUGUCAUUCAGUGUGUCAGGAAAGGAAGCUAAAAAAGUGUUAUGGAGGACUGGGGCAGUGGCUGUUUGGUGGGCAAAUUUGGUUGGAAAACAACGAAAGACUAUUUGAAGGUGUUGACGAUACUGCAGAAGCUACUUGGAAUAGAGUGAAACAUUAGUCUUUUCAAUGUGAUAGAGUUUAAAAUUGUGUCUAUCUGUUAUUUAUGUAGAGAGAGACUGGCAUUCUCAUUUUUUUUGUUGAAAAGCUUAGUUCUUAGUUCUGUCUUUUACUAGGAACUUUUAUUUUAUUUUCCGCCUUUCAGGUUGUACUUUGGGGUGGUACGGUUUAUGUACUCCCUUGCAUUCCUUUUUUAUAUUCUAUAUUAUUAAUACAAGUGUUGAUGUUUUGUUCUGUUUC